GAACCCCCUCUUCUCCAGCCUCUGACCAAAGUGCUUAUUCCAGCAGGCUGAAGCUUAUUCCAAGCAGGGGUAUGCUCUAUCCAAUCCUGCAUGGUUCUUAGAUGUUGCUGUGUAGAGCCUCUCUUACAAGCUACACCUGUCAAUAAAAAAAAGCCUCUGGCCAAUGAACUGAGGCAGGAAGUAGGAGGUGGAAUACUGGCAGGAAGAGAAACAGAUUUCUGAAAAUAGUCAGAGGCUCAAGAUUCGAGGAAAAUGCUGAGGAAGGCCGGAACUGAAGGAGAAGAGGCUAGAAUACAGGGGACAUUCGCCCAGGAAUGCUGAGGAGACGGACAGACAGAAACCAGCUGGUAGCCGAACUCAGGAUUGGAUAAAGAGGAGAUUCGCCCUGGACUUGGAGGCCUGAAGCUGAGGAGAGCACAAGAGUAAAGGCUCAUGGGAAAAUAUGGGAUGAGACCCCAAGGACAAAAUGAAGAUUCAAGUGGAAGUCACAGGCAUGACCAACAGAUGGCACCAAAAAAAUCCCAGUCUCAGAUAAGUACCUCAGUGUGUGCCCCUCAGUCAGACCAGCUUUCUACUGCUGGCAAAGCUGUUUUAUCUACAUACUCCCUGCUCUAAUGUAGUGAAAUUAGCCUCAGCCUGCUGGUUCGACCUCAGGAGCUACAACUACACACUUACCGGUCUCCUAGCUCACUUUCAGUGCAUAGGCAGUAAGCCCUGGUAAGCCCAAUGCAGAGAUUCUAGAGUCAGGCUGCCUUGUAAAAUCCUACCUCCACUGAGUGUGUUGACUUGGGGCAAGCUGCUUUAGCUAGCUCUUGGGACUCACCCUCCAUCUAUUAAGAGAGGUUAUUACAAUACAUACCUCGUCUAAGGUUGCCAUAACGACCAAUUUGUUCUUGGCACUGUGCUUGGCACACACUAAUUAUUCCUUGUGAAUUAUCAGAACUAUCAGGAGAAAAAUAUAAACCUGGCUGAGAUGCUUGCUUUACAGAGCUGCCACUCUGGCAAUGUGGGCGAGCACUCGUCUUCCACUUUUCCCUGGCUUUAGCUUGACUUGAAGCUUCUACCAUCUUUAGUCCCCCCUUUUCUGAUCACAGAAACCUGUCUUACUCCAGUCACAUCUUGUGUCUGAAGUUGCAGUGUCCUGUGUACACAGAGAACACCAGGCUAGCAGUGAUAGAGGUAUUGACUGGGGCCUUGCAAAGUGUGAGACUCAAGACUCCUUCCACCGACACCCUGGCAACCCUCAUAGCCACUCAUCCUUCAGGCCAACCUGCUCUUUGGUCACCCUGCACCAGCAGUUCCAACCAGCUCUGGCACUUGUCCUAGGCAUUUUUCAACCUAGACCAUGAGGGCUUCCCAGUGCCAGGCCAAUCCCAGAAAGACAGUGGCUGUGGAAAGGCAGAACUCCAAACCAGCACAGGAAAUUCCCAGCAUUCCAUUAUCAACCCCAGGCUGCUUAUCUAUCAAACUGCUUUAGAAACCAAGAUGAAAUCGUGACACUUAUAAAAUGCUUGAGAGACAGAAGAACCUUUGACCAGUUGGGGAAGGAGUAAGUCAUUCAGGAGAUAAACUGACCAGAAAUUCCUGAGAGUACAGCAUAGGUUUGGAGAUCUUUCUCAGUUUUGCAAUCCAUGAAGGAUGACCCAGGCUUUCUCCUAAACUGGGGGUUGUUCUUAAGGUGUCCUAAGUUAUGCUAGGUGCCAACCUAGCUAUCAAGUCUAUGAGCAGAGCAGGUAAGUUAUCUAGGCUGUUUCGAAUCCCUUUUGUAAACUCACUCCUACUUGUAAAGACUUCUGAAUUUAGGUCUAGAACUCACUGGCUUAUUAGUUGGCGCUCCUUCUGGCACAGGUAACCACCUUCACCCUGAUCUGAAAGCUAUCACCCAGGAUGGCUACAAGAGUCCUUGUAUACUUGAUGCUUUUGGGCACAGACUUUGCUACUGGUAACUCACUUGUGACAGUUCGUUCUGUCUCCUUGGGUAUAUACUAAGCUCCCCAUUUUACUGUCCUAAAGCCUCACUUCUAGGAGCCAUACAUCAAUCACACACCUCGUGAAGAUUGUGGACUUGGAAUGAAACAUAAGACACACACUGCCUUAUAACCUCACUGAAGCUUGACCUAAGCUAUCCCCUCACCUUUAGUAGCAUAGCAAACACUUAAGACAACCUACACAAGAGAUGUACGUGCUCAGUAGCAGUCCUUUGUCCAGCAUGUUCAAGACUCUGGGCUCAAUUCUUAGCACUCUAAAAAUAGACCUAGGGGACAACUGGGGGAUAUGGCUAAUGGUGAUGCCUAGAGCUGCAUCAAUUCCCACCCACGCCAAUCUUAUUUCUUUUGAACCACUUUGAAUACAGAAACAAAUCUCACUAAGAAAAACUAACUCAAAACUUCAAUAAUAUUUUUUUUUAUUUACAAGUUAGAAUCAAGAAAGAAAAGACAGUCCAGGAGCCAACUGGAGAGGUGACUAAAAUCCCCAGGCCCCAAAUGGAGUGGAAGUAAAAGGGAAGAGUAGAAAAAAAAGUCAAUGUAAAAAACAAAAGAGCUCCCUCUUCUUCCCUCCCCAUGGAGGCUGGAGGGAGGACCUCGGCGCUACACACCCCCAGCCUUACCACCUAGCUUAAAUAAAUUAAAACCUCAAAACAGGGCCCUUAGAAGUGAACAGGACAGCUACAGCUCAGGGGGCUUUGUGCCAGGCCUAUACCCACUCCCACCCAUACCCUUGCCCCACCCCCAUCAUCCUCAACAGGGACACCACACCCAACAGGGCUAGGAAAUCAAUCCCUGCAUGUCCAUGUCCCUGCAUUCCUCCCCACUGCAGAGCCAGCUCUCCUAUGGAGGGGUCAGAUGAAGAAGCAUCACAGCAAGGGAAAAAGUGGGGAAGGGUGGUACAGGGGUCCGGUCCUGCGGAGCCUUCCUGCCCCAUCUGGCCUGGCCCCUUAACCCGAGUCUGAAUCGCUGGUGUCUGAAGAAGAUGAAGACGACGAGGAGGAGCUGGAAUCUGAGCUGGAACUAGAAGCACUGAGACGGGACACGGCCACUUGCUGUGCAGAUGACUCUGUCUUCUCACUCGCUGUAGAGCAAGUAGAGCAAUGUUAAAAGGUAGAAGAUGUGACAUUUUAUCAGAACAUUUUUGCCUAGUUAGUAGCCAAAAGGGCUAGUAUUCAAUUUAAAGGUGAGGAAGGGUGAAUAUAAGUCUGAAAUACCUUUCUUGGGGGGCUUUUUGGUGGAGUUGAGCUGUCCGCUGACAUCCUGCAACCGCUUCUCCAGCUCCCGCUUCUUCUCCAAAGCCAGUUCCUCCUUUGUUUUUCCCACAGGUUUUCUAAUAGCUGGAGGGAAAAAGUCAGGACUCACUCGAUUGCCCCAAGUCUUCCCAGAGUUGCCAACUUCCAUUCCUUAAUGAAGCAGCCCCAUUCAUGCUGGAUGCUGACUGCCACAAACACACAUGGCAAGCACACACCAAGAUCCCUAUAUUCUUGCUGUCUGUCCUCAGAACUACUACUGUGGAGAGACGUUAACUGAUGGAUAUCAUCUGAUACUCACUGUAGGGCUUUCGGGGUUUCUUUCGAAGGCAGGAUAAAACGUAUCGCUCAAGCUCUCUAAGUGUGGAUGGCUUGAGUGUUUCAAAAUCAAUCUCAAUUUCUUCCGGAUUUGAAUCGCGUAGAGAGGGCUCCCUGGCUUGGAUGAUAUGUACGACUCGACCCAGCUUUUCCCCAGGUAAUUUAUUAAUAUCCAGGCUUAACUGUCUCUUCUCAUCAUAACUCAUGGGCCUGCUUUCUUCUUCCUCCUCUGAAUCAUAGCCAGUGGGAAGGACAGGUGGAACUGUCUUCUGAGCCUUUUUAGGCAGCCUAUGGACAAUAGGAAAUUAUCAGUAACGAGUUUACACCAUGCAGAACUGGCUUAUACAAUACCCUUAAGACAAUCUUAAAUGCUUACUUGUUGCUACUUCCUCCGGAAGUCCCAAAACCAGGAUGGCUGAGUGAAGUAGCAUUGCUACCCCCACCACCUGCUUUCUUAGAUUUCUUGGGCGGGAGCGGGCGAGGUGCCCUAGGCCCUUUAUCAUCUUCAUCGAUCCCAAUUCGGCCACGAUGUUUCUCUGCCUUCCGUUUCUUCUUCUUUUCCUUUUUCUCUCUCUUCCGCUUGGGCUUAGAUAUUGGACCUUGGGACAGGGCAGCCAGUUGUUCAUGAACCGCCCGAAGCUACACAGGAGAAAGGCUUAGUAAUUAAUUAAGACCAAGAAACAAUUGGGAUCAACAUAGUCCAAGUUCUCACCCAAUUAAAGGCCACAAAAAUGAUUUACCUGCUCCUGUAGCUCUGCCAGGCGAUGAGCCCUUUCUUCCUCGGAGUCUGAGCUUUCACUCUCUUCCUCAUCAUCGUCAUCUUCCUCCUCUUCCUCAGAGGAACUCUCACUGCUACUUUCCUCACUGGAGGACUCUGAAGAGGAUUUGGCCAACCCAGGAGGCAAGGCAGUAGAGACUGGUAAAGGCCCUGGUUCCAGCGGCUCAUCUGGCAUCUUGGCAUAGCGGAACUCAAACACAUCCUAAAAAGACAGGCAGACUCAAAACUGUGUUUAAUGAAUGCCUAGCCACCCAGCACACUAGCUCCAACUUGAUACAAAAAUGGCAAAAUCUUACAAGUCUUAAUUGCACAGCAAAAAUUAAACUCUUAAGCAGUUCCUGUGGAGUAAAUUAAACUUCAACUUUCUUUCACACUCACCUGUAACUUUCGUGCCAUAGCCACGACAUCGUGGUCUGGAGGAUUGUACUUAUAGCAGUUGGAGAACAUAAGCCGUACAUCAGCAGCAAACUCCUGUGCAUCCCGGUAGUCACGGUUCUCCAUCUUCCGCUGCAGAAGGAGGCAGCAUGAGAAGCUGCACAGGCAGUCUCAUCUUUCCCUGCCAACCCGACUCAAGAGCAGCCCUCUCUUGAAACAAGUGGGGAUGACCUUAAGGAUCUGUGCCCUGGGGUUCAAGUUUGAAGUCCAAGGAUUUGGGGUAGGUUUGAAGAAAUAUCUAUGUCUAGAAGAAAACAUUUCUAAGUAACCAAGGCCAUCUCUCUCCCAUCACAUUUCCCUAACCCAACUCUUAUCCUUACUAUUAAAAAACCAGGGUUUCAAAGUA
Molecule: long non-coding RNA, 5115 nt
Organism: Grammomys surdaster
Lineage: Eukaryota; Metazoa; Chordata; Mammalia; Rodentia; Muridae
Exons: 2
Source: RefSeq, a predicted model, not a curated record